AUGGAGUUUGUGCUGAGCUGGGUUUUCCUUGUUGCUCUUUUGAAAGGUGUCCAGUGUGAGGUGCAGCUGGUGGAGUCUGGGGGAGGCUUGGCAAAGCCUGGGGGGUCCCUGAGACUCUCCUGCGCAGCCUCCGGAUUCACCUUCAGUGACUACUACAUGGACUGGGUCCGCCAGGCUCCAGGGAAGGGGCUGGAGUGGGUCUCACGUAUUAAAUGGUGGGGUAGCACAUACUAUGCAGACUCCGUGAAGGGCAGAUUCACCAUCUCCAGAGAGAACGCCAAGAACACACUGUAUCUUCAAAUGGACAGCCUGAGAGCUGAGGACACGGCUGUCUAUUACUGUGCGAGAGACACAGUGAGGGGAAGUCAGUGUGAGCCCAGACACAAACCUCCCUGCAGGAACGCCGGGGAAAUCAGCGGCAGGGGGCGCUCGGGACCCACUGA
Macaca mulatta (Rhesus monkey) is the source of this 443-nucleotide non-coding RNA. NCBI's taxonomy places the organism in Eukaryota, Metazoa, Chordata, Mammalia, Primates, Cercopithecidae. The record is from RefSeq and is a predicted model, not a curated record.